GAUAUCUGCAGUUAACGAUUCGCUUAGAGUUGUCAGUUCAGAGUAAGGUGGGGUAGCCUACACUUCAAGUGACGGCACACGUAGAGCUUUUAUAUGGUGUGAUGGAGACGGCGAGGAUACAUGGAAUUUCCUUUUGUGGGGAUACGCAGGAACUUACGUAAACCGCAUCGCCUUCGGUGAAAGCCGGGACCAGCAAUGGCCCGCGCUGAUAGUGAGCUGAGUCGGAUAGCUCGUCGUGAGUAAUGCUCACCAAGGCGGGAUCCGUAGUUGGUCUGAGAGGAUGAUCAGCCACACGGGAACUGAGACACGGUCCAGCUCGUACGGGAGGCAGCAGUGGGGAAUAUGGACAAUGGCGCAAGCUUAUCCAGCCAUACCGCUGGGUGAAGAAGCCUUCGGGUUUAAAGCCCUUUGUUGGGAAAGAAAAGCAUUCGGUUAAUACCCGGGUGUUCUGACGGUACCCAAAGAAUAAGCACCGGCUAACUUCGUGCCAGCAGCCGCGGUAAUACGAAGGGUGCAAGCGUUACUCGGAAUUACUGGGCGUAAAGCGCGCGUAGGUGGUGGUUUAAGUCCGUUGUGAAAGCCCUGGGCUCAACCUGGGAAUUGCAGUGGAUACUGGGUCACUAGAGUGUGGUAGAGGAUAGUGGAAUUUCCGGUGUAGCAGUGAAUUGCGUAGAGAUCGGAAGGAACACCUGUGGCGAAGGCGACUAUCUGGGCCAACACUGACACUGAGGCACGAAAGCGUGGGGAGCAAACAGGAUUAGAUACCCUGGUAGUCCACGCCCUAAACGAUGCGAACUGGAUGUUGGGUUCAACUUGGAACUCAGUAUCGAAGCUAACGC
This 839-nucleotide ribosomal RNA is filed under the name uncultured Gammaproteobacteria bacterium. RNAcentral describes it as "bacterial SSU rRNA". It matches the Rfam family "Bacterial small subunit ribosomal RNA", at positions 1 to 858 of the family's 1533-position model. The record is from RNAcentral. Lineage: Bacteria; Pseudomonadati; Pseudomonadota; Gammaproteobacteria.